RNAcentral lists this transfer RNA (72 nucleotides) under Nomascus leucogenys (northern white-cheeked gibbon). It matches the Rfam family "tRNA". From Rfam's summary of the family: Transfer RNA (tRNA) molecules are approximately 80 nucleotides in length. Their secondary structure includes four short double-helical elements and three loops (D, anti-codon, and T loops). The record is from Rfam by way of RNAcentral. Lineage: Eukaryota; Metazoa; Chordata; Mammalia; Primates; Hylobatidae.
AGCAGUGUGGCGCAGUGAAAGCGUGCUGGGCCCAUAACCUAGAGGUUGAUGGAUCAAAGUCAUCCUUUGCAA